CAUGUAGGCGGUCUUUUAAGUCGGUUGUGAAAUCCCUUGGCUUAACCAAGGAACUGCAACCGAUACUGGAAGACUUGAGUGCAGGAGAGGAAAGCGGAAUUCCCGGUGUAAGAGUGAAAUCUGUAGAGAUCGGGAGGAACACCAGUGGCGAAGGCGGCUUUCUGGUCUGCAACUGACGCUGAAAUGCGAAAGCUAGGGGAGCAAACAGGAUUAGAUACCCUGGUAGUCC
RNAcentral lists this ribosomal RNA (229 nucleotides) under uncultured bacterium. RNAcentral's name for it is "partial 16S ribosomal RNA". It matches the Rfam family "Bacterial small subunit ribosomal RNA", at positions 568 to 796 of the family's 1533-position model. The record is from RNAcentral.